Molecule: ribosomal RNA, 33 nt
Filed under: Calamus didymophyllus
Lineage: Eukaryota; Viridiplantae; Streptophyta; Magnoliopsida; Arecales; Arecaceae
Description: partial 26S ribosomal RNA
Source: RNAcentral
GCGACCCCAGGUCAGGCAGGCCACCCGCCGAGC